RNAcentral lists this long non-coding RNA (861 nucleotides) under Bos taurus (domestic cattle). RNAcentral's name for it is "long non-coding RNA NONBTAT029191". The record is from RNAcentral. Lineage: Eukaryota; Metazoa; Chordata; Mammalia; Artiodactyla; Bovidae.
AUUUGCUUAAGAAGGAAUAAUAUUACAGAGAUAUAGACUGGACAUCAUUUUAGAGUAACAGUAUCAAUGGAGACCUUGAUGUUGUUUAUACCUCUGGGUAGAAGUAUUACAAUCUUUUAUAAUCCCAGAGAAACUUUGCAAGAGUUGUUCUUUCCACAAUUGCAAACAUGAAGCUCUCGUGGGCACCAUGUUGGGUGAGGAGCCCUUGUGUUUUUAUAUGGAAACAAUUUUUCACACCAUGGGCUGCUUUGUUCUUUUCAUUAAAAAAGAAGUCUCUGUAAAAACUAAGUAAAUAAAUAAAAUUUAGACCCUUGAUUCAAGUCCCCUGAUUUUAUAGAGUUGCAAAAAUGUAAGACAUGUCACUUUUGCAGACCCCUGCCUCACCUCUUCAGAGUCAGGUGAUCUUUAGGGCACAGAAAUGCUUCUCUAGUCAUGAGCUGAAAAGACUCUAAGCCCUAAUUUCAUGGAGGUAUUCACAUGCUUACCCUGGAAAAUACUCUUUGAUAGUCAGGUCUGCAAGUAAGUGAUUAUCUUGUUAGAAAUCACAGAAAAAUUCAUUUUUCUCUGGACAUUAUAGGAAAAUCCUGGCCUUACUUCUUUUCCUAUUGGCAUGGUUACUCUGUUUUCCUCACUUACUGCCACCUCAGUUCAAAGUGGCCCUCAUGAUGCUGUGCCUGUCUCAAGCCAUAAUAGAACUCUGAGGUCCCACACGUUGCUUUGUGAAAUACUGAUUUAGCCUCUGCCCUCAAACGUCUGACUUUUCCAUAAAAGGUACUAACAAUCUGGACAUUGUUUAAAUUAUUUCUUAAAUAAAUGACUGCACAGAGUAUGCUUUAUGUAAUUAAAAUUAUGCUUUUCCAU